UUGAACUUUUUUUCUCCAUCUUAUACUUAUUAUUUAUUGUAAAUUAUGAGAAUUAUUAAACAGACGUAUGGGCUUAGGUUCCUUCGGACAGACGAUAUUUCUUUCUCGACACUUCCUUCUUCUUCUCCAUGUUUUUGAUGAACACCUUUAAUGAUCUUUUUUGCGUAGAAUCCUGGCGAACGGCUAUAAUUGUAUAAUCGUUGGAGAUCUCCUAAUAAAUCACAGUAUCUGAGAUUCGAAUUCCAAAUCCCUAGGUGUAUUAAUGAACAUUUGGUCAACCAAACCAAUGUACCACCAAAGGGGCUUACACGAACUUUACUUUUCUUUAGGAAGAAAAAUAAAAGUCAGUUCAAAAAAAUACAUUGUCCGUUU
This 372-nucleotide small RNA is filed under the name Arabidopsis thaliana (thale cress). RNAcentral describes it as "ATSL149520". The record is from RNAcentral. Lineage: Eukaryota; Viridiplantae; Streptophyta; Magnoliopsida; Brassicales; Brassicaceae.